RNAcentral lists this ribosomal RNA (292 nucleotides) under uncultured bacterium. RNAcentral describes it as "partial 16S ribosomal RNA". The record is from RNAcentral.
GGACUACACGGGUAUCUAAUCCUGUUUGCUACCCAUGCUUUCGUAUCUCAGCGUCAGUAUAGGACCAGGUAACCGCCUUCGCCACCGGUAUUCCUCCUGAUAUCUACGUAUUUCACCACUACACCAGGAAUUCCAUUACCCUCUUCCAUACUCAAGGUCGACAGUAUCAAGUGCACUUCCUGGGUUGAGCCCAGGGAUUUCACACCUGACUUAUCGAUCCGCCUACAUACUCUUUACGCCCAAUGAUUCCGAACAACGCUAGGACCCCUCGUAUUACCGCGGCUGCUGGCAC